GAGUUUGAUCCUGGCUCAGGAUAAACGCUGGCGGCGUGCAUUAUGCAUGCAAGUCGAACGGUUCUGAUUUUAUCAGGAUAGUGGCAAACGGGUGAGUAACACGUAAGUAACCUGCCCCUAAGUGGGGAAUAACCUCGGGAAACCGAGGCUAAUACCGCAUGUUGUGGUGGAGGUAAGGCUUCAUCACCAAAGCCUUUGGGCGCUUGGGGAGGGGCUUGCGUCCGAUUAGCUAGUUGGUAUGGUAAUGGCUUACCAAGGCGAUGAUCGGUAGCUGGUCUGAGAGGAUGGUCAGCCACAUUGGGACUGAGAUACGGCCCAGACUCCUACGGGAGGCAGCAGCAAGGAAUUUUGUGCAAUGGGCGAAAGCCUGACACAGCAACGCCGCGUGGGGGAUGAAGGCCUUCGGGUUGUAAACCCCUUUUCUCAGGGAAGAAUAAUGACGGUACCUGGGGAAUAAGCCUUGGCUAACUACGUGCCAGCAGCCGCGGUAAUACGUAGGAGGCGAGCGUUAUCCGGAUUUACUGGGCGUAAAGAGGGCGUAGGCGGCCUUUCAAGUCGGAUGUGAAAUCUCCCGGCUUAACCGGGAGGGGUCAUCCGAUACUGCUGGGCUAGAGGGCAGCAAGGGGAGGUGGAAUUCCCGGUGUAGUGGUGAUAUGCGUAGAUAUCGGGAGGAACACCAGUGGCGAAGGCGGCCUCCUGGGCUGUUUCUGACGCUGAGGCCCGAAAGUGUGGGGAGCGAACAGGAUUAGAUACCCUGGUAGUCCACACUGUAAACGAUGGACACUAGGUAUAGGGAGUAUCGACCCUCUCUGUGUCGAAGCUAACGCUUUAAGUGUCCCGCCUGGGGACUACGUCCGCAAGGCUAAAACUCAAAGGAAUUGACGGGGGCCCGCACAAGCAGCGAGCGUGGGGUUUAAUUCGAUGCAACGCGAAGAACCUUACCAGGGCUUGACAUGUCGGAGUAGCGACCCGAAAGGAAGCCACCUGUUAAGUCAGGAGCCGUCACAGUGCUGCAUGCUGUCGUCAGCUCGUGCCGGAGGUGUCGGUAAGUCCAUAACGAGCGCACCUUGUCGCUAGUAUUUCUCCUAGCGAGAACUGGCUGCAACGGGAGAGGUGGGAUUGAACGUCAGUCGCAUGCUAUGGCCCUGGGCUUACCACGCUCAAUGGG
RNAcentral lists this ribosomal RNA (1168 nucleotides) under uncultured bacterium. Its description in RNAcentral is "bacterial SSU rRNA". It matches the Rfam family "Bacterial small subunit ribosomal RNA", at positions 9 to 1234 of the family's 1533-position model. The record is from RNAcentral.